UGUGUGAAGGGAGGGAAAGGCAGUAGAAACAAAAGUGAAACUGUCUGGGCAGCAUAUUCCUGAAGUCUUGGGGUCUUUCUGAGUGUAGCCUUCAUUGUUUUGAGAUCUACCACACCGUUCUCUCACUAGAAGGGAAAACCUAUAAUGGCAGCAGGCCAUAAGAGAGACCCAGUUUGGGAACAUUUUAAUGAAGUUCCUCUACCUGUAGGUAAGACAGUCAUGCGUUCAAGAUGUAAACAGUGCAACAAAGAAAUGCAAGGCUUGGUUGCCUGAAUGAAACACAUCAUGAGAAGUGUCCCUUCUCAGAAGGAAGCUGCAUUGGAGAUGAUGAAAGGAACAGGUCUGAACAUGCAGGAUCUUCAGGAGAAUCCAUCCUCAACAUACAGGAUUCUGAAGAUUAUCCACCUUCAAGAUCACCAUCAUUUUCUAUAGUUUCAGAGUUACCUGCCAAUGACAGUGUUUCAGUAACAUCAUGUAUGUCUCAUAACCACAGUAUAUCACCUGUAGCAAAAAAA
Long non-coding RNA from Gopherus evgoodei (Goodes thornscrub tortoise), 515 nucleotides. RefSeq lists it as uncharacterized. Lineage: Eukaryota; Metazoa; Chordata; Testudines; Testudinidae. The transcript is spliced from 4 exons. The record is from RefSeq and is a predicted model, not a curated record.